UCCGGCUUAUCACCGGCAGUUUCCUUAUAGUUCCCGGCCUAACCGCUGGCAAAUAAGGAUGAGGGUUGCGCUCGUUGCGGGACUUAACCCAACAUCUCACGACACGAGCUGACGACAGCCAUGCAACACCUGUGUGUGGUCCAGCCGAACUGACGCCCACAUCUCUGCGGGCUACGACCACCAUGUCAAGGGUUGGUAAGGUUUUUCGCGUAGCAUCGAAUUAAACCGCAUGCUCCACUGCUUGUGCGAGCCCCCGUCAAUUCCUUUGAGUUUUAAUCUUGCGAUCGUACUCCCCAGGCGGAGUGCUUAAUGCGUUAGCUUUGAAACCGAAAAACAUGUUUCCCGAUAUCUAGCACUCAUCGUUUACAGCGUGGACUAC
This 379-nucleotide unclassified non-coding RNA is filed under the name uncultured Rickettsiaceae bacterium. RNAcentral describes it as "contains 16S-23S intergenic spacer region". The record is from RNAcentral. Lineage: Bacteria; Pseudomonadati; Pseudomonadota; Alphaproteobacteria; Rickettsiales; Rickettsiaceae.